Beta vulgaris subsp. vulgaris (sugar beet) is the source of this 1251-nucleotide long non-coding RNA. RefSeq lists it as uncharacterized. NCBI's taxonomy places the organism in Eukaryota, Viridiplantae, Streptophyta, Magnoliopsida, Caryophyllales, Amaranthaceae. The transcript has 3 exons. The record is from RefSeq and is a predicted model, not a curated record.
GAGGAAGAAAAUUGUUGGUAGCCUGUGUCUUAUGAUUGAUCCGAUAUUUGCUGUAAGGGUUAAGUUAGUAUUGUAUUGAAAACCUUAGAUGAGUGAUUGAGUGCGUAUUAGUUGAUAUUGAAACUUGUUUUGAUGUGCAGAGUGGUGUUUUGGGAGACGAUCCGGCAACGGAGUUGCGGUAGACCUGUAAUGAUUUGAAAGGGGUGCGUGCUGAUAGACUAUUUGUGGUGUUUAUUCCAGUUUUACAGGGAAGUCAUUGGUGGUGUCUUGCCAUUUCUGUGAACACAGAGGAAAUUUGGGUGAUGGAUUCACAAUGCAGCAGACCGCUUGAGGCGCAUUGUGAAGCUAUCGAAAAACUGGUAAGUAAUAAAGUUGAUAAUGGUGUAAUUUAUUGGUAAUGAAAUGUUAAGAUAAUGUGUGGAACUCUGUUAGGUAAUGGGAGGUGACAAAUUUUUUUCGUCAUUUGAUGUAAGUUGGUUAAGCGGUGAGCUAUGCAGGUGGCCCUGAAAGGCUGUGAAUAUGGCCUCUUCUCAUACGGAUGGGUAAGUAAUUGGGAUGUUUUCCCGUAACCCUGUCCUGUCCCUACAGAAGUGAAGUGGUGCAUUAACAUGAAAUGCUUAUGGUUGUAACAGAAGUGGGAUUCAUAUGUUGCUUGCUAUAAAGGGAUGUGCAGCUCGUUUGAAGUUUGACUAUUGCAUUGGUGGUGGGAACAUAAAGGAGGAGAGUACUUGGCUGCUAACAGAAGAUGUAUUGUGCGAUGAGAACGAGGUGAAGGAGAGUGUUAAGGGUAUGCUUGACAGGGUUUGAAAGAAGUAAAUUUUGGUAUAGGCCAUAAUUUUAUGUUGGGCCAGGAUUUUGUAUAAUUUUGUAUAGGGCAUAUGGCCGUAUGGCCCAUAGUUUUGUAUAUGUCCAGCCAUAGUUUGGUAUAUAUGUCGACCAUAUGGGCAUUGUAUGGCCCAUAGUUUUCUUAAGGGCCAUAUUGUAGAAUGAUAAUUAUUAAGGCUAUUAUAUUGGAAAAUUAACAGAAGGUUGAAAUGCAAAUAGUAAGGAACCUUGAAUAUUGAAAUGCAAAUAGUAAGGAUAUUACAUCCGAUUACAUACUAAGGACAUUACAUCCGAUUACAUACUAAGGGACGUUACACCCAAAUAACACAAAAGCUUAAUAAAAGCCCAGCAGUGGAUUACACCCAGUAGUGGGAGUAGUUGGGCCAGUAGUGAAGAAUUUGGGCCAGUAGUGGAGAAGUUUAGGAU